CUACAGAGGGUGCAAGCGUUAUUCGGAAUUACUGGGCGUAAAGCGCGCGUAGGCGGAUGAUUAAGUCAGUCGUGAAAGCCCUGGGCUCAACCUAGGAACUGCAUCUGAUACUGGUCGUCUAGAGUUUAGGAGAGGGAAGUGGAAUUCCAGGUGUAGCAGUGAAAUGCGUAGAUAUCUGGAGGAACAUCAGUGGCGAAGGCGACUUCCUGGCUUAAAACUGACGCUGAGGUGCGAAAGCGUGGGUAGCGAACGGAAUUAGAUACCCUAGUAGUCC
This 274-nucleotide ribosomal RNA is filed under the name uncultured bacterium. RNAcentral's name for it is "partial 16S ribosomal RNA". It matches the Rfam family "Bacterial small subunit ribosomal RNA", at positions 523 to 796 of the family's 1533-position model. The record is from RNAcentral.